UACGAAGGGGGCUAGCGUUGUUCGGAAUUACUGGGCGUAAAGGGCGCGUAGGCGGUGUGUCAAGUCAGGCGUGAAAGCCCCGGGCUCAACCUGGGAACCGCGCUUGAGACUGGCACGCUCGAGUUCGGGAGAGGAUGGUGGAAUUCCCAGUGUAGAGGUGAAAUUCGUAGAUAUUGGGAAGAACACCGAUGGCGAAGGCAGCCAUCUGGACCGACACUGACGCUGAGGCGGCGAAAGCGUGGGGAGCAGACAGG
This 254-nucleotide ribosomal RNA is filed under the name uncultured bacterium. Its description in RNAcentral is "partial 16S ribosomal RNA". It matches the Rfam family "Bacterial small subunit ribosomal RNA", at positions 524 to 776 of the family's 1533-position model. The record is from RNAcentral.